AUUGAACGCUGGCGGCAGGCCUAACACAUGCAAGUCGAACGGUAACAGGAAGAAGCUUGCUUCUUUGCUGACGAGUGGCGGACGGGUGAGUAAUGUCUGGGAAACUGCCUGAUGGAGGGGGAUAACUACUGGAAACGGUAGCUAAUACCGCGUAAUGUCGCAAGACCAAAGAGGGGGACCUUCGGGCCUCUUGCCAUCGGAUGUGCCCAGAUGGGAUUAGCUAGUAGGUGGGGUAACGGCUCACCUAGGCGACGAUCCCUAGCUGGUCUGAGAGGAUGACCAGCCACACUGGAACUGAGACACGGUCCAGACUCCUACGGGAGGCAGCAGUGGGGAAUAUUGCACAAUGGGCGCAAGCCUUAUGCAGCUAUGCCGCGUGUAUGAAGAAGGCCUUCGGGUUGUAAAGUACUUUCAGCGGGGAGGAAGGGAGUAAAGUUAAUACCUUCGCUCAUUGACGUUACCCGCAGAAGGAGCACCGGCUAACUCCGUG
Molecule: ribosomal RNA, 490 nt
Filed under: uncultured bacterium
Lineage: Bacteria
Description: partial 16S ribosomal RNA
Rfam family: Bacterial small subunit ribosomal RNA
Source: RNAcentral